CCAAAAAAAUAUAAGGGCUAACUGUUUUUUUUUUAUAGAUUUAUCAUUUCAUAAAAAAAAAAAACUUAUCAAUCUUAUAAAUAUAUUAAAGAGAAGGAAUACUUUUAAUUAUAGAGGAAAGAGAAAAAUACUAUGAAUGUUUCCCACAAAAACAAAGUGCACGUUUCCAUUCUAACAAUUAUUAUCUCUUCCUCUUUAUUAAGAUCAUGAACACAAGUCCAGAGAAUUUUUAUACGAAAAAAAUAAAUCUUUCUUAUUUUCCUUUACACUAAAGAGCAUCUUCAGUUAACACCUUUUAACACAAUUUUCAUCAAAUAUUAGGAGAAAUAUAAGAGUACAGAUCCAAAAAAAAUUGAAGAAACAAAAAAAAUUACAGAUCUAUAUUUGGGUCCGUCGCGCAGUUGUAGCGCACUGAUUUCAAAUUAGAAAGCUGUAUAUUAGAUUCACAUCGGGUUCAAAAAUCCCGAUCUAUCUUCGAUUAUGAAUUCUUUGUAACAGUUGCCCAUUUUCUGAUGAAGAAGCAUUUGAAAUAUAUAAGGUA
Capsicum annuum is the source of this 541-nucleotide long non-coding RNA. RefSeq lists it as uncharacterized. NCBI's taxonomy places the organism in Eukaryota, Viridiplantae, Streptophyta, Magnoliopsida, Solanales, Solanaceae. The transcript is spliced from 2 exons. The record is from RefSeq and is a predicted model, not a curated record.